Molecule: ribosomal RNA, 494 nt
Filed under: uncultured soil bacterium
Lineage: Bacteria
Description: bacterial SSU rRNA
Rfam family: Bacterial small subunit ribosomal RNA
Source: RNAcentral
AGAUUGAACGCUGGCGGCAUGCUUUACACAUGCAAGUCGAACGGCAGCGCGGGGCAACCUGGCGGCGAGUGGCGAACGGGUGAGUAAUAUAUCGGAACGUACCCAAGAGUGGGGGAUAACGUAGCGAAAGUUACGCUAAUACCGCAUACGAUCUAAGGAUGAAAGCAGGGGACCGCAAGGCCUUGUGCUCCUGGAGCGGCCGAUAUCUGAUUAGCUAGUUGGUAGGGUAAAGGCCUACCAAGGCUACGAUCAGUAGCUGGUCUGAGAGGACGACCAGCCACACUGGAACUGAGACACGGUCCAGACUCCUACGGGAGGCAGCAGUGGGGAAUUUUGGACAAUGGGCGCAAGCCUGAUCCAGCAAUGCCGCGUGAGUGAAGAAGGCCUGGUGUAAAGCUCUUUUGUCAGGAAGAACGGUAGGGAGCGUAAUAUCUCCCACUAAUGACGUACCGUGAACGAAUAAGCACCGGCUAACUACCGUAGCCAGCAGCCGA